GAUACGUGCAGACGGACAGAGCGGACGCCAUCUUGUAUUUUGAGCACAAAGUUGAGUUGACACAAUGUCCGGAGUAAUUCGUGGUUUAUUUCAGAGAUCUGUUCCGAUGUUACGGAAUCAGAGCCAGGCAAUUCAACGCCGCACAGUUCUAGGUGGGCCAGCAAAAGUGAAACUAUCCACUCCGGAGGGCGUCAUAGCUUUCACAGUUAUAUUCUUUGGCCUGGUGACUGGUCCUGCAUGGAUCCUGACACACAUAGAAGAAUAUAAGAAGAGGUCAUAAUAUGGUGACUGGACUGUGAUUAGUUUUCUCUGGACGCUGUACUUGGCACGAGGUGGAUGAUUGAAGAUGGCAACUGAUAUAACAGAUGAAGAGGAUUGACUAUGAAUAGCCAACUUCAUUUGCUGUGUGAUUGCUGGACUCUUGUACCACCUGUUUCACCUAAAACUGUCAUUAUAAUUACUCUUUUCUUUGGGUUCCAGUAGAAACUCUAGUUUGGCUUCUGUGUGUAAUUUUGAAAAGUUGUAUGAAACAAAUUAAAUUCAGUUUAAUAUUAUAAUAUAAAUAAAGGUGUACUCAUUU
Saccoglossus kowalevskii is the source of this 580-nucleotide long non-coding RNA. RefSeq lists it as uncharacterized. The record is from RefSeq and is a predicted model, not a curated record. Lineage: Eukaryota; Metazoa; Hemichordata; Enteropneusta; Harrimaniidae.